Long non-coding RNA from Chroicocephalus ridibundus (black-headed gull), 1343 nucleotides. RefSeq lists it as uncharacterized. Lineage: Eukaryota; Metazoa; Chordata; Aves; Charadriiformes; Laridae. The transcript has 3 exons. The record is from RefSeq and is a predicted model, not a curated record.
AAUCACAUACUCUGGGAAUCUCCAAAUUGAUAACAAGUUGCCUUUAAUUAACUGCUCACUAAAUUGACUCUACCUAGUGUUGAGGGGUUUUCAUGAAUUCCCUGGGGUUUGGGAUGGACCUUGCUGUGGCUGGAGGAGAGCGGAGCUGUGACAAGCCGCCCCGGCAGUGCCACUGUGCCGGGAGAGGCGGGAUGCUGGCUGACCCAGGAUGCAGGAGAACAGACUGUGAAAAGAAGUGGUGAUUCAAGGGGAUCCCUCUGCAAACACCAUCAGCCAGUUUAUAACCAGUGAGCAGCGCCUCGGUUCCUCUGCUGACGGAAGGGGUUUUGAACCGCAUGAUGAGAAGCUGAAGGAAAGACAAGAAGUGACAGUGUGAGUAAUUCCAGAAGAUCCGGACUGUUUGGUGAGGCAGUUUUCCAUCUUUGAAGCAACAACCACAUCCCAGUUUGGUGUUUUGCUCUGGGGAGGACCGGUUUUCAGUGGCAGCAUCCUGUACAGUGCCAGCAUCCAUCACACAGCAACCCACAAUGCUCACUGGACCCAGAGAGGAACCUGCGAAUGAUGGAGGAAGGGAGAACUGCCCAGUAAGGGGGAGACAGGCAGGCAGGAGCGCCUGGAAGUGCUGGUAUGCAGGAGCCUGGUGAGAAAAAUAACCCUUCCCAAGUAGUCUGCCCCAUCCAAAAUGGUUUGUACCAAAGUUUCUUUCCCUGCCUGUCAGAGUGGAAAGGCACAAGCGUGUGCAUGGCCCCGAGCGCCAGCCCUGCGGCGUCAGGCACCGGCUCCCUGUUUCUGAUUUUUAGAUGAUCGAGUUUAAUCUUGGCCAGAUGGUGAAGACAGAACACACAUGACACGAGUAGGACCUGGUGGUGUGGUCAAGGCUGUGCCCUCAAGGCUGCUCAGGAGGCGGGUCCGCCAUGUUCACCCCCAGCUCUCGGGAGGAAAGGUGACACCUUUGUCCCGUGGGAACUCUGUCUGUCUGUCUGUCUGUCCGUGUCUGACAGCCCCAAGCCCAGGUCCGUUCUGCCCCUGCCCCAGUGGGCUCUCAGGCUGUGGCAAAACCCUCCUCUUCUCCCCCGGACUCGGGCCCAGCCUUCCUCUCUGCGGGCAGACGAGGGAGUUCAGCCUGAUUUCACGCAGCCAUUAUCAGGACUAAUACACCGUGACCGCCCACUUCUGCUUUUUCCGUAGUGUAUUAAUGCGGGAAAUGAAAGACUAAAUUGCAAAGGUUAACAGUUGGUGGCCUUCCUUAUCCUCGGUGCAAACCAGCGCUGCCUGAGGACCAGUAAUACCCCAUGAAUAUUCAGAGCACAGCUCCCAGCAACCGCAGGCUCCUUCUUUAUUUU